GCGUGAGUGAUGAAGGCCUUCGGGUUGUAAAGCUCUUUCGCCCGCGACGAUGAUGACGGUAGCGGGAGAAGAAGCCCCGGCUAACUUCGUGCCAGCAGCCGCGGUAAUACGAAGGGGGCGAGCGUUGUUCGGAUUUACUGGGCGUAAAGGGCGCGUAGGCGGCCCACCAAGUCAGGCGUGAAAGCCCCGGGCUCAACCUGGGAGGUGCGCUUGGGACUGGCGGGCUGGAGUUCGGGAGAGGAGAGUGGAAUUCCCAGUGUAGAGGUGAAAUUCGU
Molecule: ribosomal RNA, 275 nt
Filed under: uncultured bacterium
Lineage: Bacteria
Description: partial 16S ribosomal RNA
Rfam family: Bacterial small subunit ribosomal RNA
Source: RNAcentral